GGGGAUGUCCUGGAUUCGCCAUGGUCAUAAAGUUUAUAUGUGCAUGCCUUGGUUGCGCAAGUAAAAACGCCGAGGUUUUUAAUAACCGGAAACCAAAGAUUACAAUUCGCAGCUUAAGAAAAAGCUCGCGCCAACCUUAAACUCGCUUACAGUUUAAGUACGGCUCAAUUUGGUAAGCUAUACGUGUUAUAGUGUCUUGGAUAACGCAUGAAUAAAAAAGACUGGUAUAAAUAUUUUUUGUUCAUUUAAAGUAUUUAUAUAAGAUUAAGAAAUGAACUAAGCAUGUAGACCGUAUAAAUGGAUUGAUUGUGUACGUGGGUUCGAUUCCCACCAUCUCCACCA
Molecule: transfer-messenger RNA, 342 nt
Filed under: Acholeplasmataceae
Lineage: Bacteria; Bacillati; Mycoplasmatota; Mollicutes; Acholeplasmatales
Also listed under: 1 other name
Description: Alteracholeplasma sp012519065 Standard tmRNA
Rfam family: transfer-messenger RNA
About the family: Bacterial tmRNA, also known as 10Sa RNA or SsrA, is named for its dual tRNA and mRNA-like properties.
Source: RNAcentral